CGCCCAACAGCUAGCCCACUUAAAGAAUUUCAACAAACCCUUGUUAAUAACCCCUAAAUACCCCAGUAUUUAAAUUAAACAAACCAUUUUUCCCCCCUAGUAUAGGCGAUAGAAAAGGGACUACGGCGCUAUAGAGAAAGUACCGCAAGGGAACGCUGAAAGAGAAAUGAAACAACCCAGUAAAACCUAAAAAAGCAGAGAUUUAAGCUCGUACCUUUUGCAUCAUGAUUUAGCGAGUGUACCCCAAGCAAAGAGCACUUUAGUUUGACGUCCCGAAACUACGUGAGCUACUCCAAGACAGCCUAUUAAUAGGGCACACCCGUCUCUGUUGCAAAAGAGUGGGAAGAGCUUUGAGUAGAGGUGACAAACCUACCGAACCUAGUCAUAGCUGGUUGUCCAAGAAAUGAAUAGAAGUUCAGCCUCUUGGCUUCUCUUUUCACCCUAGUCUAACCCCUAUUGAUGCCUUAAAGAAACCGAGAGAGUUAGUCAAAGGGGGUACAGCCCCUUUGAAUCAAGACACAACUUUAUCAGGAGGGUAAAGAUCAUA
Molecule: ribosomal RNA, 547 nt
Filed under: Enophrys bison (buffalo sculpin)
Lineage: Eukaryota; Metazoa; Chordata; Actinopteri; Perciformes; Cottidae
Description: partial 16S ribosomal RNA
Rfam family: Bacterial large subunit ribosomal RNA
Source: RNAcentral